This 519-nucleotide ribosomal RNA is filed under the name uncultured bacterium. RNAcentral describes it as "partial 16S ribosomal RNA". It matches the Rfam family "Bacterial small subunit ribosomal RNA", at positions 28 to 507 of the family's 1533-position model. The record is from RNAcentral.
GACGAACGCUGGCGGCGUGCCUAAUACAUGCAAGUCGAGCGAGUCUGCCUUGAAGAUCGGAGUGCUUGCACUCUGUGAAACAAGAUACAGGCUAGCGGCGGACGGGUGAGUAACACGUGGGUAACCUGCCCAAGAGAUCGGGAUAACACCUGGAAACAGAUGCUAAUACCGGAUAACAACAGAUGAUGACUAUCAACUGUUUAAAAGAUGGUUCUGCUAUCACUCUUGGAUGGACCUGCGGUGCAUUAGCUAGUUGGUAGGGUAACGGCCUACCAAGGCGAUGAUGCAUAGCCGAGUUGAGAGACUGAUCGGCCACAUUGGAGCUGAGACACGGCCCAAACUCCUACGGGAGCCAGCAGUAGGGAAUCUUCCACCAUGGACGCAAGUCUGAUGGAGCAACGCCGCGUGAGUGAAGAAGGGUUUCGGCUCGUAAAGCUCUGUUGUUGGUGAAGAAGGACAGGGGUAGUAACUGACCUUUGUUUGACGGUAAUCAAUUAGAAAGUCACGGCUAACUAAGUG